Molecule: ribosomal RNA, 494 nt
Filed under: uncultured bacterium
Lineage: Bacteria
Description: bacterial SSU rRNA
Rfam family: Bacterial small subunit ribosomal RNA
Source: RNAcentral
AUGAACGCUAGCGGCAGGCUUAAUACAUGCAAGUUGAGGGGCAGCAUGAUAUACGCGAGUAUAUUGAUGGCGACCGGCGGACGGGUGAGUAAUAGGUAGGAGACCUACCUCAUACAGGGGGAUAGCAUAGAGAAAUCUGUGGUAAUACCCCAUGAGGUUAUAUGAAUAGAGGCAUAUAAUCAAAGCAUAAGCGAUUAUGCGGUAUGAGAGGGGCCUACUGACCAUUAGCUAGUUGGUGAGGUAAGGGCUCACCAAGGCGAAGAUGGUUAGGGGUUUUGAGAGAGAGACCCCCCACAUUGGAACUGAGAGACGGUCCAGACUCCUACGGGAGGCAGCAGUAGGGAAUAUUAGGCAAUGGGCGAAAGCCUGACCCAGCCAUGCCGCGUGAAGGAAGACGGCCUUAUGGGUUGUAAACUUCUUUACUACGCGAAUAGAGGUUAGUACGAGAUACUAAUAGGAAGGUAGUGUAGUAAAAAGCACCGGCUAACUCCGUG